Molecule: ribosomal RNA, 595 nt
Filed under: Campylobacter coli
Lineage: Bacteria; Pseudomonadati; Campylobacterota; Epsilonproteobacteria; Campylobacterales; Campylobacteraceae
Description: partial 23S ribosomal RNA
Rfam family: Bacterial large subunit ribosomal RNA
Source: RNAcentral
AGUUUAGCUAAUGUUGCCCGUACCGUAAACCGACACAGGUGGGUGGGAUGAGUAUUCUAAGGCGCGUGGAAGAACUCUCUUUAAGGAACUCUGCAAAAUAGCACCGUAUCUUCGGUAUAAGGUGUGGUUCGCUUCGUAUUAGGAUUUACUCCGAAAGCGAAGAAACUUACAACAAAGAGUCCCUCCCGACUGUUUACCAAAAACACAGCACUCUGCUAACUCGUAAGAGGAUGUAUAGGGUGUGACGCCUGCCCGGUGCUCGAAGGUUAAUUGAUGGGGUUAGCAUUAGCGAAGCUCUUGAUCGAAGCCCGAGUAAACGGCGGCCGUAACUAUAACGGUCCUAAGGUAGCGAAAUUCCUUGUCGGUUAAAUACCGACCUGCAUGAAUGGCGUAACGAGAUGGGAGCUGUCUCAAAGAGGGAUCCAGUGAAAUUGUAGUGGAGGUGAAAAUUCCUCCUACCCGCGGCAAGACGGAAAGACCCCGUGGACCUUUACUACAGCUUGACACUGCUAUUUGGAUAAGAAUGUGCAGGAUAGGUGGGAGGCUUUGAGUAUAUGACGCCAGUUGUAUAUGAGCCAUUGUUGAGAUACCACUC